AGCAUAGCGAUUUGGGAUAAGUCCCUUGGAAGAGGGCAGCAUGGAGGGUGAUACUCCCGUCUCUGCUCAGAUCUGUUGUGUGUACGAUACGCUUUCUUUGAGUCGAGUUGUUUGGGAAUACAGCUCAAAGCAGGUGGUAAAUUCCAUCUAAAGCUAAAUAUUGGUGCGAGACCGAUAGCGAACAAGUACCGUGAGGGAAAGAUGAAAAGAACUUUGAAAAGAGAGUUAAAGAGUACCUGAAACUGUUGAAGGGGAACCGUAUCGUUUCUAGUGUGUAUCCUAUGCAUAUUUCAUUGGCGGUUGUAAAAUUGCUGGUGCCCUGUGUAUGGGUGUGACGUCAGAGUCAGUUUGAAUUGCGGGAGAUGGGUAGUGAGGAGGUGCGUCACUUUUUGUGAAAGUUACAGCUCGCUAUCUAGUAGCCGUGGUUGAGACUGAGGUGCC
Molecule: ribosomal RNA, 441 nt
Filed under: uncultured Oomycota
Lineage: Eukaryota; Oomycota
Description: LSU rRNA
Rfam family: Eukaryotic large subunit ribosomal RNA
Source: RNAcentral